This 317-nucleotide long non-coding RNA is filed under the name Mytilus galloprovincialis (Mediterranean mussel). The record is from RNAcentral. Lineage: Eukaryota; Metazoa; Mollusca; Bivalvia; Mytilida; Mytilidae.
AAAAUGAUGGGCUGAAUUUAAAUUUAAUAAAGCAUCUCAUUAAGACAAACACUCGAUAUGAAUAUCUCGGCAAUAGAAUGUUGGAUACGCAAACGUCAAAUUGAUUUCAAACCGAAGCGGUGGUUUUUAUGCCGAUUUGUGCAAGUGGUUAUCUCCCCUUAAUAUCACCAGUCAAAAAUAAAAAACCCAGCAAAAUGCAUAAAAAUUAAAAAAGGAGUUUACUUUACAAAAAUUAGAAAGAAAAUAAACGAAACUCGAUUUAUAACUAUGUUAUGAUAAUAUAAAGAAGAGAUACUUCCCCCUAUUUUUCAGAGAAG